This 462-nucleotide ribosomal RNA is filed under the name uncultured bacterium. RNAcentral describes it as "partial 16S ribosomal RNA". It matches the Rfam family "Bacterial small subunit ribosomal RNA", at positions 28 to 507 of the family's 1533-position model. The record is from RNAcentral.
GAUAAACGCUGGCGGCGUGCUUAACACAUGCAAGUCGAACGAAGUUUUUCCUUCGGGAGCAACUUAGUGGCGGACGGGUGAGUAACGCGUGGGUAACCUGCCCUGUACAGGGGGACAACAGCUGGAAACGGCUGCUAAUACCGCAUAAGCCCUUAGGACUGCAUGGUGCAUAGGGAAAAGGAGCAAUCCGGUACAGGAUGGACCCGCGUCUGAUUAGCCAGUUGGCAGGGUAACGGCCUACCAAAGCGACGAUCAGUAGCCGAUCUGAGAGGAUGUACGGCCACAUUGGGACUGAGACACGGCCCAGACUCCUACGGGAGGCAGCAGUGGGGAAUAUUGCACAAUGGAGGAAACUCUGAUGCAGCGACGCCGCGUGAGUGAAGAAGUAUUUCGGUAUGUAAAGCUCUAUCAGCAGGGAAGAAAAUGACGGUACCUGACUAAGAAGCACCGGCUAAAUACGUG